CAAAAACGACACAAAUUUUGCAGAGAAAAUUCAAAAUAACUGACUUCCUGUUGGGAUUCGAACUUUGUACCAAGAGACUUUUUUGUAGGUAUUGGUGUGUUACAUGUGUGUACCGAUUUUUGUACAUGUACGUGAAACGUAGCUCGAGGCGCACUCCGUUGAAAAUGUAUAGGUGGCGCUAUCGAGGCAUUUUGCCACACCCGAUGGAAUAUUGGCCUUCAGAUGUGUUCAGGCCAGGACUCUUAUCAAACAUGUGAAGUUUGGGCAAGAUCGGACAUUUUAUGCCUGAGUUACAAUAACUUUUAUUCCCAUGGCGAGACAUCGAACUUUGUGACGGCGCCAUGGACACGCCCUUUAACGAAAACUCAAGAUCUUCACAAUUUAACAUCGCACAG
Cyprinus carpio carpio is the source of this 395-nucleotide long non-coding RNA. Lineage: Eukaryota; Metazoa; Chordata; Actinopteri; Cypriniformes; Cyprinidae. The record is from Ensembl.